Molecule: ribosomal RNA, 451 nt
Filed under: uncultured bacterium
Lineage: Bacteria
Description: bacterial SSU rRNA
Rfam family: Bacterial small subunit ribosomal RNA
Source: RNAcentral
AGAGUUUGAUCAUGGCUCAGAUUGAACGCUGGCGNUAGGCUUAACACAUGCAAGUCGUGCGAGAAAGUAUCUUCNGCAUAUGAGUAGAGCGGCGGACGGGUGAGUAACGCGUAGGAAUCUACCUAGUAGAAGGGGAUAGCCCGGGGAAACCCGGAUUAAUACCGUAUACCUCCUUCGGGAGAAAGAAGGCCUCUCUUUGAAGCUUUCGCUACUAGAUGAGCCUNCGUAAGAUUAGCUUGUUGGUGAGGUAAAGGCUCACCAAGGGCUACGAUCUUUAGCUGNUCUGAGAGGACGAUCAGCCACAUUGGGACUGAGACACGGCCCAGACUCCUACNNGAGNCANCAGUGGGGAAUAUUGNACAAUGGGCGCAAGCCUGAUCCAGCCAUACCGCGUGUGUGAAGAAGCCCUUCGGGUUGUAAAGCACUUUAAGCAGGGAGAAAAAGUUAUAAG